UGGAGAGUGUCUACUGCUAGAAGC
RNAcentral lists this non-coding RNA (24 nucleotides) under Cricetulus griseus (Chinese hamster). Lineage: Eukaryota; Metazoa; Chordata; Mammalia; Rodentia; Cricetidae. The record is from RNAcentral.